RNAcentral lists this ribosomal RNA (223 nucleotides) under uncultured bacterium. RNAcentral describes it as "partial 16S ribosomal RNA". It matches the Rfam family "Bacterial small subunit ribosomal RNA", at positions 326 to 539 of the family's 1533-position model. The record is from RNAcentral.
ACGCUCGACACCUACGGAAGGCAGCAGUAGGGAAUCUUCCACAAUGGACGCAAGUCUGAUGGAGCAACGCCGCGUGAGUGAAGAAGGUCUUCGGAUCGUAAAACUCUGUUGUUAGAGAAGAACACGAGUGAGAGUAACUGUUCAUUCGAUGACGGUAUCUAACCAGCAAGUCACGGCUAACUACGUGCCAACAGCCGCGGUAAUCUGAGCGGGCUGGCAAGGC